This 253-nucleotide ribosomal RNA is filed under the name uncultured bacterium. Its description in RNAcentral is "partial 16S ribosomal RNA". It matches the Rfam family "Bacterial small subunit ribosomal RNA", at positions 524 to 776 of the family's 1533-position model. The record is from RNAcentral.
UACAGAGGGUGCAAGCGUUGUUCGGAAUUACUGGGCGUAAAGCGCGUGCAGGCGGCCUUGCAAGUCGGACGUGAAAUCCCACGGCUCAACCGUGGAAGUGCAUUCGAAACUGCGAGGCUGGAGUCCUGGAGAGGAAAGUGGAAUACUCGGUGUAGAGGUGAAAUUCGUAGAUAUCGAGUGGAACACCGGUGGCGAAGGCGGCUUUCUGGACCGGUAUUGACGCUGAGGCGCGAAAGCCAGGGGAGCAAACGGG